UGGGACGUCCUACCGGUGGACUUAGCUUCUAUCUCUUCNGAGNUAGAKGCGGUCCAGCUAAUAUCCCAUCGNGGUGCUUUUCAUCGAGUGUCGAGGUGGGCCGGUACGUUUACUUUGAMCAAAUUAGAGUGCUCAAAGCAGGCCAUCCUCGCCUGAAUACUGUGUGCAUGGAAUAAUGGAAUAGGACCUCGGUUCUAUUUUGUUGGUUUUCGGAACCCCGMGGUAAUGAUUAAUAGGGACAGAUGGGGGCAUUCGUAUUGCGACGUUAGAGGUGAAAUUCUUGGAUCGUCGCAAGACGGACAGAAGCGAAAGCAUUUGCCAAAAAUGUUUUCAUUAAUCAAGAACGAAAGUUAGAGGUUCGAAGGCGAUCAGAUACCGCCCUAGUUCUAACCAUAAACGAUGCCAGCUAGCGAUCCGCCGAAGUUCCAUUGAUGACUCGGCGGGCAGCUUCCGGGAAACCAAAGCUUUUGGGUUCCGGGGGAAGUAUGGUUGCAAAGCUGAAACUUAAAGGAAUUGACGGAAGGGCACCAC
RNAcentral lists this ribosomal RNA (531 nucleotides) under Stilbula sp. D2837. Its description in RNAcentral is "SSU rRNA". It matches the Rfam family "Eukaryotic small subunit ribosomal RNA", at positions 644 to 1181 of the family's 1831-position model. The record is from RNAcentral. Lineage: Eukaryota; Metazoa; Arthropoda; Insecta; Hymenoptera; Eucharitidae.